This 506-nucleotide ribosomal RNA is filed under the name uncultured bacterium. RNAcentral's name for it is "partial 16S ribosomal RNA". It matches the Rfam family "Bacterial small subunit ribosomal RNA", at positions 29 to 523 of the family's 1533-position model. The record is from RNAcentral.
AGUGAACGCUGGCGGUAGGCCUAACACAUGCAAGUCGAACGGCAGCACAGGAGAGCUUGCUCUCUGGGUGGCGAGUGGCGGACGGGUGAGGAAUACAUCGGAAUCUACUCUGUCGUGGGGGAUAACGUAGGGAAACUUACGCUAAUACCGCAUACGACCUACGGGUGAAAGCAGGGGAUCUUCGGACCUUGCGCGAUUGAAUGAGCCGAUGUCGGAUUAGCUAGUUGGCGGGGUAAAGGCCCACCAAGGCGACGAUCCGUAGCUGGUCUGAGAGGAUGAUCAGCCAGCCAGGGACUGAGACACGGUCGAGACUCCUACGGGAGGCAGCAGUGGGGAAUAUUGGACAAUGGGCGCAAGCCUGAUCCAGACAUACCGCGUGGGUGAAGAAGGCCUUCGGGUUGUAAAGCCCUUUUGUUGGGAAAGAAAUCCAGCUGGCUAAUACCCGGUUGGGAUGACGGUACCCAAAGAAUAAGCACCGGCUAACUUCGUGCCAGCCGCCGCCGUAA